RNAcentral lists this long non-coding RNA (1207 nucleotides) under Sinocyclocheilus anshuiensis. Its description in RNAcentral is "lncRNA (ENSSANG00000023036.1)". The record is from RNAcentral. Lineage: Eukaryota; Metazoa; Chordata; Actinopteri; Cypriniformes; Cyprinidae.
GCCAAAAAAAAUAAAGCUGACUCUUUUUUUUCAUCCUGAAUUUAUGUUCAUCAUUGUUUAGGACCCAGAUGAAGAUGAGGAGACACGUCAGUACAGACUCAAGAUCGAAGAACAGAAGCGCCUGCGAGAAGAGAUCCUCAAGCGCAAAGAGCAGCGCAGACAGAUGCAGGCUGGUAUGCGCAAAAAAGAACUGAUGGAACGGAUAAGUGGCCAGAACCCAAACCAGACUCCACAAACUCAGAACCCCACACAGUACCCUGCAGCCCAACCCCCACAGCCGGUCCCUUCACUGAUCUCUAACGGUACCCCCCAGAACCCUUCGUCAGGUCUUAGUUCCCCUCAUCCAAAUGUGAAGGCCCGGCUGCAGAACACUAAUCCUCAGGCACAGACUUCAGGCUGGUCUGGGCCACAGAAGCAACAGAACGCUGGUCCUGAAGCCAGCCAGCAGGGCCAAUGGCAACCACAGCAGAAGAGGACCAUGACCCCACAAAACACUCAAAGACAAGGUGCUGCUCAGACCAGCCCAUCAGAAGUGCCAGUGGGUCAGCCUCAGCCUGGGGGAAAGAGAACAGUGAUGCAAAGAGCGAGCAGCAUAGAAUCACCACAGGUUCCACAGAAAGUGCGAGUAGUUAAGCUUCUAGGAGAGCAGGCAGAUGCCGGUCCCAACACUGGUCCCCCACAGCAGCAGCAACAACCAAUUGGUCGGCCUGUCCCCCAACAGAGACUUGGUCCCAUCAGGAAAGUUACCAUGGCAGCUGGUGGUGUACAAAAUCAACAACAGGCUGGCCGUGGCAUGGCAAACCAAAUGAACCGGGUAUGACAUUGAAUCUGGAUUACUCUCAUAAGCCCUUAAUUGGACAGGUGCACAAUGCCAUUUUGCACAGCUGACACUAAGCCCUGAUACUAAUGGUGAUUUCAAGUCAUGUCGAAAGGAAUGUAUUUACGACUUUCUUUAAGCCACGGCUUUCCGAGUUGGGAACGUCUGAAUUAAAGCAUUAUGGUGGAAGCAAAUUUCUGUUAGUCAUAAGUUGUAACUGUGAAAUGUUUUAUGCAUUUUGUGUACUGUGGAGGAAAAUGAUGAAACUUGCCAGAAAGCAGUGCAUUUAACUUGUUUACGAGGAAAUCAGAUCAAAUUCCCCAUCUCUCAUCCUCCUCUGUGGCGCCCCAAGAAUAAAAAAUACACCACCGUUGAAAUGUUUGGGGUCAG